CGAGAUAGAAAAAACAUUAUUAAACUACAACGAGACGACCAAUGAUCUAGGGAGUUCACUUCGCUCUCCUACCAAUGGAUACGAAUCUUUGGUUAAUGUUGUUAACCAACAAGAAAGAAAUGGUCCUACGAAGCAGCCACUUUAAAUAAUUGAAUAAAACAAAAUACCGAUUAUUCAGUUGGUGGACACCCGGUAUAUUAAUCUAUUUUUGUAUAUUGCAAAUAAAAAGAAUUAAAAAUAAA
Molecule: long non-coding RNA, 242 nt
Filed under: Polistes fuscatus (common paper wasp)
Lineage: Eukaryota; Metazoa; Arthropoda; Insecta; Hymenoptera; Vespidae
Description: uncharacterized LOC122513840
Source: RNAcentral